This 781-nucleotide ribosomal RNA is filed under the name uncultured bacterium. Its description in RNAcentral is "bacterial SSU rRNA". It matches the Rfam family "Bacterial small subunit ribosomal RNA", at positions 8 to 784 of the family's 1533-position model. The record is from RNAcentral.
AGAGUUUGAUCAUGGCUCAGAUUGAACGCUGGCGGCAUGCUUUACACAUGCAAGUCGAACGGCAGCGCGGGCUUCGGCCUGGCGGCGAGUGGCGAACGGGUGAGUAAUACAUCGGAACGUGCCCAGUAGUGGGGGAUAGCUCGGCGAAAGCCGGAUUAAUACCGCAUACGACCUGAGGGUGAAAGCGGGGGAUCUUCGGACCUCGCGCUAUUGGAGCGGCCGAUGGCAGAUUAGCUGGUUGGUGGGGUAAAGGCCUACCAAGGCGACGAUCUGUAGCUGGUCUGAGAGGACGACCAGCCACACUGGGACUGAGACACGGCCCAGACUCCUACGGGAGGCAGCAGUGGGGAAUUUUGGACAAUGGGCGCAAGCCUGAUCCAGCAAUGCCGCGUGUGUGAUGAAGGCCUUCGGGUUGUAAAGCACUUUUGGCGGGAACGAAAAGGACUGUGCCAAUACCACGGUUCGAUGACGGUACCCGCAGAAUAAGCACCGGCUAACUACGUGCCAGCAGCCGCGGUAAUACGUAGGGUGCGAGCGUUAAUCGGAAUUACUGGGCGUAAAGAGUGCGCAGGCGGUUUUGCAAGACCGAUGUGAAAUCCCCGGGCUUAACCUGGGAACUGCAUUGGUGACUGCAAGGCUAGAGUGUGUCAGAGGGAGGUGGAACUCCGCAUGUAGCAGUGAAAUGCGUAGAUAUGCGGAAGAACACCGAUGGCGAAGGCAGCCUCCUGGGAUAACACUGACGCUCAUGCACGAAAGCGUGGGGAGCAAACAGGAUUAGAUA